RNAcentral lists this ribosomal RNA (467 nucleotides) under uncultured bacterium. Its description in RNAcentral is "partial 16S ribosomal RNA". It matches the Rfam family "Bacterial small subunit ribosomal RNA", at positions 28 to 507 of the family's 1533-position model. The record is from RNAcentral.
GACGAACGCUGGCGGCGUGCUUAACACAUGCAAGUCGAACGGAAAGGCCUCUUUCUGGGGGUACUCGAGUGGCGAACGGGUGAGUAACACGUGAGUAACCUGCCCUUGACUUUGGGAUAACUUCAGGAAACUGGGGCUAAUACCGGAUAGGAGCUCCUGCUGCAUGGUGGGGGUUGGAAAGUUUCGGCGGUUGGGGAUGGACUCGCGGCUUAUCAGCUUGUUGGUGGGGUAGUGGCUUACCAAGGCUUUGACGGGUAGCCGGCCUGAGAGGGUGACCGGCCACAUUGGGACUGAGAUACGGCCCAGACACCUAAGGGAGGCAGGAGUGGGGAAUAUUGCACAAUGGGUGGAAGCCUGAUGCAGCAACGCCGUGUGCGGGAUGACGGCCUUCGGGUUGUAAACCGCUUUCGCUCAUGACGAAGCUUUGUGUGACGGUAGUGGGUAAAGAAGCACCGGCUAACUACGUG